Molecule: transfer RNA, 58 nt
Filed under: Mesocricetus auratus (golden hamster)
Lineage: Eukaryota; Metazoa; Chordata; Mammalia; Rodentia; Cricetidae
Rfam family: tRNA
About the family: Transfer RNA (tRNA) molecules are approximately 80 nucleotides in length.
Source: Rfam by way of RNAcentral
UGGCUCAGCUGGUAAAGCGCUUGCCUUGGAAGCAUGAAGGCCUGGGUUCGGCCCCCAG